Molecule: long non-coding RNA, 661 nt
Filed under: Mustela putorius furo (domestic ferret)
Lineage: Eukaryota; Metazoa; Chordata; Mammalia; Carnivora; Mustelidae
Description: lncRNA (ENSMPUG00000024712.1)
Source: RNAcentral
AAAUCAUUGACACUCCACACUUCCCUACUAUCAUAUUUUCUUUUUCUUCUUUUUUUUUUUUAAGAGAACUUUUUUUUCUUUCCUCAGCGCCUCCAGUCCAAUUCAAAUACACAGGGCUUAUAAAUGCAGAGUGGAGGUACAACAGGAAGGUAAGCUUAGCAGUUCUGAUUAUUAGGUCACAAGGGACACUUGGGUCUAACAGACUUCAGUAGCAUCUCUGAUUAUACCUGGGUGUCUGAUCCCAUGCACUUGUUUGCACCCAGAACAACAGGCAUAGCCAAAUGACUUGUUUUCAUCAGGAAAAUGGGAGCUGAAGAGACAUGUGCAUGAGCAUUUAAUAUUCAGUCCUCAUUGUCUACCCCGGAACCCAUUCAUGGAGAGAACCCUGAAGCCUCAUAUUGAGAUGAAGCAUGCCAUAAACUGUUGGUGUUUCCUUUAGCCUGGAUCCUCCAGUGGUUUAAAUGGAUGAAGCCCUCUGCCUACCUGUUUAAGGUCAUCAAAAAUCAUAGACCCAUUUCCCAGACAGGACUUACACUCAAAUUUCCACCUCCACCCUCAAAGUUCCUAGAGAUUGCUUUCCCCAAGAUCACAGGUAACUGAACCCAGACACAGAAACACUUUGGCAGCAGAUUAUAUUACUAACUUCUUCACAUCCAAAGCC